AAUAAACGCUGGCGGCGUGCCUAACACAUGCAAGUCGAACGAGAAAGCCUGAUUUCGUCGGGCAAGUAAAGUGGCGCACGGGUGAGUAACGCGUAGGUAACCUGCCCCUGUGUUCGGGAUAACAGUGCGAAAGCGCUGCUAAUACCGGAUCCGGUCAUAAGGCGGCGGUCUUAUGAUUAAAGUCGGCCUCUCAAAGAAGCCGGCGCAUGGGGAUGGGCCUGCGUCCUAUCAGCUAGUUGGUAGGGUAAUGGCCUACCAAGGCUUCCACGGGUAGCUGGUCUGAAGGAUGAUCAGCCCACUGGCACUGAAACACGGCACACUCUACGGAGGCAGAGUGAGGAAUUUUCGCAAUGCAGUGUCCAACACCCGCCGUGUGGGUGAGACGCCUUCGGUGUAAGCCCUGUCGUGGGAAGAAUGACCGGGGUUGAAUAGAUCUCAGGAGUGACGGUACCACCAGAGGAAGCACCGGCUAACUCCGUGCCAGCAGGCGCGGUAAUACGUAGGGAGCGAGCGUUGUCCGAAGUUACUGGGCGUAAAGCGCGCGUAGGCGGCUGCUUAAGUUGGAUGUGAAAUCCCACAGCUUAACUGCGGAACUGCAUCCAAAACUGGGCGGCUUGAGGAUGGAAGAGGGUAGUGGAAUUCCUGGUGUAGCGGUGAAAUGCGUAGAUAUCAGGAGGAACACCCGUGGCGAAGGCGGCUACCUGGUCCAUUUCUGACGCUGAGGUGCGAAAGCUAGGGGAGACGAACGGAUGAUAUACCCGUAUCCUACGUAAAGAUGGAUACUAGUGUAUGGUAUCACCCCAAUUUGCAAACUACGCUUAAUAUCGCCUGUGGAGAUACCGCCCCAGGUAUCUCCGGAAUUACGGGGCCCCCCAACGUAGAACAUGGGUUUAAUUUUUAUUAACCGAAGAACCUUACCCAGGCUUGACAUCCCCGGACACCCUAUGAAAAUAGUUUUUUCCCUCAAAAGGGAGACUGGGUGACAGGUGUUGCAUGGCUGUCGUCAGCUCGUGUCGUGAGAUGUUGGGUUAAGUCCGCAACGAGCGCAACCCUCAUCGCAUGUUGCCAGCGUAAAGCCGGGCACUCUUGCGAAACUGCCCGUCUAAGCGGGAGGAAGGUGGGGAUGACGUCAAGUCGGCAUGGCCCUUACGCCUGGGGCUACACACAUGCUACAAUGGCCGGUAACAGAGGGCAGCAAUACCGCGAGGUGGAGCAAAUCCCAAAAAUCCGGCCUCAGUUCGGAUUGCAGUCUGCAACUCGACUGCAUGAAGGCGGAAUCGCUAGUAACCGCAGGUCAGCUAUACUGCGGUGAAUACGUUCCCGGGCCUUGUACACACCGCCCGUCAAGUGAUCUGAGUCGGUUGCACCCGAAGUCGAUGGCCCAACCCGCAAGGGAGGGAGUCGCCGAAGGUGUGGCCGGUAAGGAGCGCU
This 1431-nucleotide ribosomal RNA is filed under the name uncultured bacterium. Its description in RNAcentral is "partial 16S rRNA". It matches the Rfam family "Bacterial small subunit ribosomal RNA". The record is from RNAcentral.